CCCCUAUGUGCUCCUAAAAGUUUCUAGUCUGAGCAUUUUUAGCUGGUACUUUCAAAAUCACCAGGGUCUGUCAAAGUUGGGUCCUGUGAAAAAUGUACACAGCUAAAUGGAGCAUAUGCUGUCAAUACAGCAGACAGGAUCUAUUACAGUAUCUGAGUGCCCCCUAGCGUAUGUAUCGUUUCUGCCUCAAAUCAACAUUCAAUUCGGAGGAGCCUUCCGACAUGGAAACUGCCUGGGUCUCUCGUCUCUCACAGUGACCAAAGUAGCGUGCGCCCAUUUCUAACUGAUUCAUAUUUAAGAAAAUGUCUUCUUAUUGACUUGGACGUCAUCGAGGUAUGCGUGUUGAUCACUGUUUCGCCUUUUCAUAAACAUAGCCUGAGCUCCGUAGGCACAGGGAUUUUUUGUAUUUUGCUUUUAAUCAUUGAUUGAUAUAGGCUGAUAAUUGGUCUUGAGCGUAACACUUUCAUUCUAAAGCAAACUGCAUGGUCUAAAUGAUAUCACUGUCUGCAGUUUAUUGUAUUGUUUUAUUGUGGAUUCUACCUGACCACUCCAUUGUGACUGGUGACCUCCACUUGACAGAUCUGCUCCUGGCUUUCCUGAGUGUCAGACUGCUGAGACAUGAAGAAGACCAACCUGCUGACUCAGGAUCCACCUCAACACAGAGGUCCCCCUUUGGCCUUCAGCUCAUCAAUUCAAUUAAUAUGUUCAUUUCAAUAAAGCCAAAAUGGAAAAUUAUCCAUUUAAAAGUAAGGCACUUUCCAUUGAAACAAGGGAAACCCCACAUUUGUGUGGUUGAGCCAUGAAUCAUCAUAUGGCAUGUGUGGCGAUUGCAUUUAGAGAGUGAUCAGAGACAGUACCAAAGACUGGAAACAUCCCAUACUCGGCACUAGAUUUAAUGAGUGCCGAGUUGUAGUAUUUACAACAGUGCCAAAAAGGCUCAGCUAUGUUCAGGAAGCAUGUGAAGUGUCUGCAAUAAAAAAACAUUGUCAAACAAGAUUUGGGAACAAUUACAUAGACAGAUAGUGUAAUGUUUAUAUGAUCCCCCCAAACCAGAGCAGCUGCAGUAACCAGACCAGCAACAUAACCAUGCCCCAUGUGACUACGUCUUUCAUCUAGUUGAGAGGCCAGUAGUUUGUUAAUUUUACAUCAGUUCUCACAAUUUAUCAUGCCUACACUGUGAAACAUUUCAACAAUUGUACUUACAUUGUGGCCAAACGUCUUGAACUUCAGAUGAACAAUUGGACAUUGCUUGUUGUUGACUAGGGUAAUCACUAGCUACCAUGCAUGCAGCUUUGGCUAUUAUGUGUCAUUGCUAUUUUAGAAGUAACCACUGUAAGUUUCUCAUUGCUAGCUAUUUGAACUAACAUUAACGGUAGUUUGUGACAUCCAACCUUUAUGGGUGUGAUGUGAUAUACUAAAUACAUUGGACAUGAAUGCGUAUAAUUUUGUAUCCGGGACAAAACAUUAUUGUGACGGUAUCAGCUGUGCAUGCCGGAGAACUUUCCGCAACACAGUUGUUGGCAAAAAUGUGGGUUUUACACAUCAUAAUUAUCACCUUUAACAGUUGAAGUAGCAAAAAUCUAGGAUGAAGUUGUAUAUCUAAAUAAUUUACUGUACCAGGCAUAGGAAAGGUAAUAUAUUGCAAGUAACUAAAGGAAUGUUAAGGUAAAGCUACAAAAUAACAAUAUUUUAAACUGUCUAGCCACCCUUGAAACUCCUACACAUCUUGUUCGAAAUGGCAGCUCUAUCAAGAUAAUCAUCUGAAUGAAUCUGUUACACCACGACCUAUCAGGCUUGUAAUUAUUCAUUGAGACCCUUCAGGCUAAACCAAAGUAGUGAAUGACCAGGAAGUCACCUUAUUGUCUAUACAACUCAUCAUAUCAGGUCAUAAACUGGCUAAUGCUUCAGGUCAUAUGCUUUUCUUGUUGUAACAUUUGUUAACGUUAGCACCGAUGAGCACAUGAGUAGCAGCAGAUUGCAUAGCUUUUGUCCAAACCAUUUCCUUAUUGUGCAAGAAAUAAUCCUUUAUUCAAUUUAUGUCUGAGGAGGCUUUUUAAAACAUAUUUUCACAAGAUCAGUAGAUCAGUGUUAACUAAUACGACCACUUGGCCCUCUAUGGUCUAGAUUUUCCUUCACGUAUGAAACAUUAGCAGAGCUCACUGCUGAGAAGGGUGUGGCUGUGGCUAUAUCUCUGGGAGAAGGGCACAGCUCCUGACAGAAAGGUAAUGCUGUUGAUACUCUCAUGUCUAGGUCUCAGCGCUACCAGACCAUGGACCCCUUGCUCCCCAUUUAUCCCUCUGUCAAUUUGCAGAUCAUGUAAAAUCAAACUGAAACUGCUGUGAGAAAUGUCUCCAUAUAUUUAAUCCCUGACUGAAAUUACAAGUCAGGUUGGUUUCUCUAAUGAAAUCUUACUCUACAUAAUGAACACAGUGGAAGUCAGCAUUCUCACCAUAGGUAAACAUCCCAAUGACCUUAUUAUACAUUUUGACUUUGUCAGCUUCCUUUUUUAAUGAACUUAGUGUCAAUGACUAAUGUAAACUAAGGGCAUGAAUAGGAAUAUCAACAGUACACAAAUAGGAUUCAUUACAGGAUUUGGGUCACACUGCUCAUAGACUUAGGGCUCUAUUCAAUCCGCAUCGCAGAAGUUCAGCUUUACAGCGUGAAUGAAAUUUAAAGGCAAUGUUCCCGCCUCAGUGGAGACUGCUUUCACAGUAAACACUGCAUCAAUCAGAAAUUACCUUUACAUUUCUAUUGCGGAAUCUGUAGUGCUUCAGCCUUACAUAUUCAAUAGAGCCCUUAGGCUGUUACUUGUUCAAAAUGUACAACUCAGGUCACGCUUGAAAAAUGUCUUUAAACAAAGAGAAAUGCUGAACUUUGUCAAGCACCAUGUGUAGGCUAGAAUACCCAUUCUGACAUAGCAGUUGUAUUCUGCAAUUGCGUAAAUUAUGUUGACCUGUAGAUGAACAAAGAAAUAUGAAAAGACUUUGUACAGAAUUCCUGUGCAAUGAGUCACCUUCUCUCAUGUAAUUGUUUCCAUAUUAGACCCCACUCACCCCUUCUUGCAAGAACAUCCCUUCCAAAGGAAUACUCGUGUUAUGAUUUGUUUACAAUCACUCUGUCCAAUUCCACCUGCUGACAAGAGGUACCUCAGGGUACAGUGUUGUUACCCUUACUAUUUGUUUACCCACAGCAGAACUCAGACACAUUCUGGAUAUGAACAAAUAGGUGUUUUCCAUAUAUACAGCUAUAGUUACAGAGUGAUCGCUAGAAAUAGACAGCAAUUUCAGAUUCUGAAAAGGUCCCGAGAACAAUUAUAUAUGCCUUCCUCUGUGCUCACCAAAAAGAAAAGAAAAAUGACUGCCCAGCACUAGGAAUGAACUCUUGAUGCUCAGAGCUGGAGCUCAAUUGCAGUUCACACAGAUAACCACAAAACAAAGAUGGCGAUUUCCAGAAGUUUAAAAAAAGUUCAGAGAACAUUGAUAUAUGCCGCCUUCUGCGCUCACCCAAGAAAUGAAAAAUGAUUUCCCAGCAUUAGAAGCGAAUUUGUGAUGCUCGGAGGAGAAGCCUGCUGCUUAAACCACUGCGCUACGCAAUUCACAAAGCUCAGCAAGCCACGGGAAUACUGAGAAUACGGAUUAUACCUGAUGGUAAUAGCGCGUCAUUUUACAUUAUUUUGUUUUAAGCCUUCCCCAAACCAUAGCCCUGACCUUAACCACUCAGUAUUAAUACCUAAACUUCACCCUUUGAGUUGUUUCUAUUUCGAUCCUGUAACGCGCAAAAAUAGAUGUUCAUACAUAUUACGUUGAAUUUAAAAGGGAAACUAGGAGAUCUUGUUGAGAGUUAGGUCUGUAUCUGGAGGGGAUAAUCUUAUUUGUGGUCUCACUGAGUCAUUCCUCUUUGUUGUAAUGACUAAGGUGUUGGAUUGACAAUCUCAGAGACCCAGGUUCAAGUCCCAGUAGGGCUACCACUGAAUUAGCUAUAUUGUUGUCAGAAGUGGGUUGGCACUGCUGGGAGAGCCAUUGGUACGGGAGCAAGAAACUUGUGCAAAUUAAGCACAGGAAAGCACUUUCUGAAGGAAAGGCGUAGUGUAACAACCUUAGUACAACACCUACUGACUUUGUUAAUUGUUGUACAAGAUCUACCAACUUCGUCGGUUGUUGUACAAUACAAAACCUACCAACUUCGCCAAUUGUUGUUCGACAGUAUUUUCCACAUAAUUGUAGAAACCACUCAGCACCUAGGAACAGGACAGCUCUUAUAAUAAAACUGUUAUGUCUUGUUUGUGAGUCCUGUAACAAAAAAUUAUUCCAGGCCUCAGCAUUACUUACACAAGGCUGUUAAAAAGGUCUUUGUCACUUUGGCACACUGCACCUACACAGUAUUUGCCAGCAGCACCACCAUCAUCAUAGGAUCUACUUUCUUUCUUUCUUUCUUUCUUUCUUUCUUUCUUUCUUUCUGUUUCUUCAAGUUUGCAUUGUGCAUUGACUGUGCUGGUCAUGAGCUUGUGUCAGCCAAUGCAGGACAAAGCCCCCAUAAACUAUAACACCACUUCCUGCACGGCUCAAGGUGAAAUGGUAGCAUAAACUAUCAGACACUUCAUUAUAAUAUCGGUUUACAUAUCCAGGACACUAAAAAGUAGGGGCCAUUUCAUCAAGCUAAUUGCCUGUUUGUAAGAGGGAGCAAACUUUUCCACCAUCAGUCUAUUAUGGAGCCUGUUUCUUAAUCACAAAUAGAGCCUUUGUAUCCCAGAGGGACUUGCAUUCUAAUGUAUAAUUGAACCAAAGACCAAAGCUAUCAAUCUUUCACAGACACUUUAGUUAUUUUUCUCCUCCUUGGUGUAAUUGUGGUGACAUACAGUAACAACAAACACUGUGAAAAGGCUGCUUCCACAGAUCUGUGGAAAGGAUGCUAUUCCUUGUUUAUUAUGUACAGUGCUUGCAUUGUAGAGUGGAACCAGAUACCCUAUCAAUAAUAAAGAUCAAGGUGUCCAGACCUCUGUAUGACCAACUUUAAACUUUAAAAGGACAGGAACUUUGGCCUUUGGAAUCCAAGAGCAGCAAUCACUCAUCUAAGGAUCUCUAAGGGAGAGAGAAUGUUCUCUUUUGCAUGGUCAAAAUUAAGUAAUGGUGCUGUAAUACAUGUGGUACCGCAAAAAAAAUAUAUAUAUGUGAUCGGGAUUUUGGAGAAGCUUGACUAUUCUGGUGUGCAGACCAGUGUCUGAUGACAUGAAAAUGGCUGAGUUGACA
Molecule: long non-coding RNA, 5246 nt
Organism: Oncorhynchus kisutch (coho salmon)
Lineage: Eukaryota; Metazoa; Chordata; Actinopteri; Salmoniformes; Salmonidae
Source: Ensembl